Molecule: ribosomal RNA, 504 nt
Filed under: uncultured bacterium
Lineage: Bacteria
Description: partial 16S ribosomal RNA
Rfam family: Bacterial small subunit ribosomal RNA
Source: RNAcentral
GAUAAACGCUAGCGGCAGGCUUAACACAUGCAAGUCGAGGGGCAGCAUAGAUUGUAGCAAUACAAUUGGUGGCGACCGGCGCACGGGUGCGUAACGCGUAUGCAACCUACCCGUCACAGGGGGAUAAUCCGGAGAAAUCUGGUCUAAUACCCCAUAACAUAUGGAUCGGCAUCGGUUCAUGUUGAAAUUUUCGGAGGUGACGGAGGGGCAUGCGUAGCAUUAGCUUGUUGGUGAGGUAACGGCUCACCAAGGCGACGAUGCUUAGGGGGACUGAGAGGUUUUCCCCCCACACUGGUACUGAGACACGGACCAGACUCCUACGGGAGGCAGCAGUGAGGAAUAUUGGUCAAUGGGCGCAAGCCUGAACCAGCCAUGCCGCGUGCAGGAUGACGGCUCUAUGAGUUGUAAACUGCUUUUGUACGAGGGUAAAGUGGGUUACGUGUAACCUUUUGAAAGUAUCGUACGAACAAGGAUCGGCUAACUCCGUGCCAGCCGCCGCGGUAA